Molecule: ribosomal RNA, 497 nt
Filed under: uncultured proteobacterium OCS111
Lineage: Bacteria; Pseudomonadati; Pseudomonadota; Betaproteobacteria; Rhodocyclales; Zoogloeaceae
Description: SSU rRNA
Rfam family: Bacterial small subunit ribosomal RNA
Source: RNAcentral
AGUUUGAUCCUGGCUCAGAUUGAACGCUGGCGGCAUGCUUUACACAUGCAAGUCGAACGGCAGCGCGGGGCAACCUGGCGGCGAGUGGCGAACGGGUGAGUAAUAUAUCGGAACGUACCCAAGAGUGGGGGAUAACGUAGCGAAAGUUACGCUAAUACCGCAUACGAUCUAAGGAUGAAAGCAGGGGAUCUUCGGACCUUGUGCUCCUGGAGCGGCCGAUAUCUGAUUAGCUAGUUGGUGAGGUAAAGGCUCACCAAGGCCACGAUCAGUAGCUGGUCUGAGAGGACGACCAGCCACACUGGAACUGAGACACGGUCCAGACUCCUACGGGAGGCAGCAGUGGGGAAUUUUGGACAAUGGGCGAAAGCCUGAUCCAGCAAUGCCGCGUGAGUGAAGAAGGCCUUCGGGUUGUAAAGCUCUUUUGUCAGGGAAGAAACGGUGAGGGCUAAUAUCCCUCGCUAAUGACGGUACCUGAAGAAUAAGCACCGGCUAACUAC